GUAUCAUGGCUCAGGACGAACGCUGGCGGCGCGCCUAACACAUGCAAGUCGAACGGAGCUGAGAGGAGCUUGCUUUUCUCAGCUUAGUGGCGAACGGGUGAGUAACGCGUGAGUAACCUGCCCUGGAGUGGGGGACAACAGUUGGAAACGACUGCUAAUACCGCAUAAGCCCACGGCCCGGCAUCGGGCUGAGGGAAAAGGAUUUAUUCGCUUCAGGAUGGACUCGCGUCCAAUUAGCUAGUUGG
RNAcentral lists this ribosomal RNA (245 nucleotides) under uncultured bacterium. RNAcentral's name for it is "partial 16S ribosomal RNA". It matches the Rfam family "Bacterial small subunit ribosomal RNA", at positions 14 to 252 of the family's 1533-position model. The record is from RNAcentral.